UACAGAGGGUGCAAGCGUUGUUCGGAAUUAUUGGGCGUAAAGGGCGCGUAGGCGGUGCGGUAAGUCUGUUGUGAAAUCUCCGGGCUCAACUCGGAGUCUGCAACGGAAACUGCCGUGCUUGAGUAUAGGAGAGGUGAGUGGAAUUCCCGGUGUAGCGGUGAAAUGCGUAGAUAUCGGGAGGAACGCCUGUGGCGAAAGCGGCUCACUGGACCAUAACUGACGCUGAUGCGCGAAAGCUAGGGGAGCAAACAGG
This 253-nucleotide ribosomal RNA is filed under the name uncultured bacterium. RNAcentral describes it as "partial 16S ribosomal RNA". It matches the Rfam family "Bacterial small subunit ribosomal RNA", at positions 524 to 776 of the family's 1533-position model. The record is from RNAcentral.